Long non-coding RNA from Syngnathus typhle (broad-nosed pipefish), 765 nucleotides. RefSeq lists it as uncharacterized. The transcript has 3 exons. NCBI's taxonomy places the organism in Eukaryota, Metazoa, Chordata, Actinopteri, Syngnathiformes, Syngnathidae. The record is from RefSeq and is a predicted model, not a curated record.
AACAAAUCCUCAACCCAUGCUCACAGUUACACCGCAAUUAAAAAAAAAUUCUCAAGACCUGUCUGACAAUAUCUGUCAAGACUCAACAUGAGGCAUAAAACUGCCUAUUAAUAAGCUGUGAAUUGCUUCUCAUUACACGGGCAUUUAAAGGCUCUGUUCUCACCAAGGAACUUCCUCCCUAUCCUCUUUCCUGUUUCUCCAAUAGUAAAGUUACACUGAGCAAACAAUUUGAUUGGCUGAAUCGUGUCACACCCACACAGACCGACGAUGAAGAGGAUCCACCACUACAAAUUGAAGGAGUACACUGACUGAAUGAAAUGCCACAAAAAGCAGUUCUCCUCGAGUGUAUUAAUUGCAUUGCUGUUUUUCAACCUCUUUUCAUAUUUGAAUAGUUUUAUUUAAUGUCGUUGUUGGACAAUGACUGAAUUUGCAUAAACAGCCAAGACCGUAUUUUGUAUGCCCUAAUGAAAUUAAAUAGUUAUUCAUCAUUUUUUUCCACUGAAUACUUGUUUACUCUUCCUCAAGUACUUUUUAUCUCUACUCGAGUCCUAAUAAACUAAAGAUGGAGUACUCUUAUCUUGAGUAUAGGGCUGAGCGAGUAAUUCCAAUAAUGCGAUCAGAAAAAUGAAUCGACUCUGCCUCGAUGAUUUAAGAGGCUGCGUAAACAUAUGCCUGGACUAUGUAUGGCGUUUAUAGUAUGUUUCCGCGUAUGUUUCAGUAUAAACUUUAAUUUACUCGGGUAUUUUAUGUUUGAAUUUUUAAUGG